ACCGAUAAAAAAAUAAAAAAAAUAAAAUAAAAUAAAAAAAAACAAAAAGGGGGAGUAAGCCAAGGCCUGCCUCCAAAGGCGCGGUUAUCUAUGGCAUUAUUCACAUACAAUUUUUUAAACUUAAACAGUGAAAAUUGCUCCCCAGCUAUGGCACAUUGUACCCCAUCCCCCAAAAAAUAAAGGAUGGGUUAGAUGGAAAGAUGUCCUGACGGGACAAUGGAUGGGCCCGGAUCCGGUGGUUAGCUGGAACCGAGGCGCGGUUUGUGUCUUUCCGCAGGGACCGGGACGAGAACCACUGUGGGUCCCAGAGAGGUUGACGCGACAAGUCCCUCGACUAAAGAUCAGGCCUGUUCCACCAGAGGCCAACCGCAGACCCAACAACAAGAUGAGCCCUAAAAAAACUACAGGACAAUCCCUUUUUGGGGGCCUGGAACGGCUUGCUCCCCUAUGUGCUACCCUUGCAUACGCAUGGCUCGCUCGCAUGGCCUACGACCGCGUUUAAAAGUGACAGGCUUCCCACAUUCUCCUCCCUAGACAACAACAUGUAGCAGGGUGGGUGAGUCAAUGACGGGUAAGAGCGUGCCUCCCCAGCACGACUCAACCUAAGCCAGGCCCUACCCCAUGGCGCAUGAAAGCCGCUGGAUCGCUAGAUUCCGCCCCGAAUCUAGAUGCCUCUCCAAAGGGGAUCAUAAGGAGAGACGUGAGCGUAUGCCUAUGUGCACCCAGGUUCCGUCUGACCUAUCCCUGGCCCUGGAAAAAAGGACGAGGGCCUCAAGGCCUUGGUGGACCCUGGGACGGCCGCCCGGGUUCCAACCCAAAGGCCUGCGGUGGGCCUCAGAUACAGGGCGUAGGCCUCUACGCUCGAUCCAGGACGGGCUGCAAUGCGCUCGUUCUUGUAAAAUAAAAUAGGGGGAGAUGUUGGGAGCCGUGGCCGAGCCCGGUCGCCUUACUUGGCGGACGUGAGGCCUGUAAGAAAGAGCAAAGCCUGAGCUAGAUUACCCCUCCCAUCGAGUGUGCUAAGAUGGCGCUUAUCUCCUGCUUCCUGCUUGGUAAACAACCCGCUCUGUAAGAUAGUCUGCCUAGCAACAACUGAUGUUAGCCAAUCAGCCUGCAUCGCGCGCUUUGAACUGAUUGGCCACUGUAACCCUAUAAAAGUGAGUGCCUCUCCCGCCAUGAGAGAAGAAGCACGGAAGGAGCCGCGGAGAGCAGACCGGUAGAGGCUUCGGCCGGGAAGAAUCCUGGGGCAGACUGUACGGAGAGGGAAAAUAAAGAAAGCCCAGCCACUGCCA
Cavia porcellus (domestic guinea pig) is the source of this 1289-nucleotide long non-coding RNA. RefSeq lists it as uncharacterized. The record is from RefSeq and is a predicted model, not a curated record. The transcript is spliced from 2 exons. NCBI's taxonomy places the organism in Eukaryota, Metazoa, Chordata, Mammalia, Rodentia, Caviidae.